Molecule: long non-coding RNA, 619 nt
Organism: Megalopta genalis
Lineage: Eukaryota; Metazoa; Arthropoda; Insecta; Hymenoptera; Halictidae
Source: RefSeq, a predicted model, not a curated record
UUUGUCAGCAAGACAUUGUCAAUUAGAACUAUAUGUAUGUAGAAUUGUGGAGCAUGCGCCAACACUAAUUACCCGCGGAAAGUUGCUCGAACUCGUUCGCCGGUGAGGACAAAGUUGUUUGUAGUUUUAUACUCCGCGUCGGUUCCUGCAUACCUAGUUCAUUGAAAAUUCCUCGGCUUGAUUCGAUCAUAAUAUUUUGUACGGGUAUUAUGGGAUCAAUCAGUUCAAAUCAUUUUCAUUCAUCUUUAAUUGAGGCCAUACGUACCAGAAGGGCGCGAGUGCAAGAAACUGAUUAUGGGAGAACGACAUGGACCGAGAGAAUCGUUGGAGAGAUGACCGGUUCCGGAUCCUUUAUUUUAGAACUUUUUGACGAGAGAGCAACAGGGUGUACAUCGAAAUUUCACCAGUAGUCAUUGCUUUUGAAAAAUGAGGAGUAUUUAAAAAUUGAAUGCAAUGAAUGUUUCGUAAGCGAAAAAUGUCUAAAAUCUAAUCCGAGAUUGCGCUCCAGCUUUUCUGUUCGAUUUGUAAUUAUGUUUUACACUCUUUUACACGCGUCCACUCGAGUCAGAUUUCAGUUGAACAUGACAGGUAAAUGAAAUUUUAUAUCUUAGAAGUAUAA